Molecule: ribosomal RNA, 234 nt
Filed under: uncultured bacterium
Lineage: Bacteria
Description: partial 16S ribosomal RNA
Rfam family: Bacterial small subunit ribosomal RNA
Source: RNAcentral
GCAAAUCUCUUAAAGCCGUUCUCAGUUCGGAUUNUAGGCUGCAACUCGCCUACAUGAAGUCGGAAUCGCUAGUAAUCGCGGAUCAGCAUGCCGCGGUGAAUACGUUCCCGGGCCUUGUACACACCGCCCGUCACACCAUGAGAGUUUGUAACACCCAAAGCCGGUGGGGUAACCUUUUGGAGCCAGCCGUCUAAGGUGGGACAGAUGAUUGGGGUGAAGUCGUAACAAGGUAAC